This is a non-coding RNA of Lactuca sativa (garden lettuce), 405 nucleotides long. Lineage: Eukaryota; Viridiplantae; Streptophyta; Magnoliopsida; Asterales; Asteraceae. The record is from RefSeq and is a predicted model, not a curated record.
AAAAUUCUCCUAUGGAUGCCCUGCACCUUCUUUAUACUACUUAAAGCCUUUAGAAUUCUUUCCUUGUACACUGCAUUUUUUGAGCUAUUACCACUUCUGGCAGUGGGCACAACUCCAUUGUUGAAGGUUGAUAAUAUAUUUUUAAAGUGAUACGAGGGUGAUUUAUCUGAGUUGGAGUUGUACUUUGUUAUUGUUAAUAAUGAAUUUGGUGAGCAAACAUUAGAAGAGCUGAUUCCAGGUGGCAAGAAUAUACGAGUUGUGAAUGAUAAUGUCAUCACAUUUAUUCAUCUUGUUGCCAAUCAUCGCCUCAAUACUCAGAUUCGUCUACAAAGCUCUCAUUUCUUAAGGGGAUUUCAACAGCUUAUAUAGAAAGAUUAGAUUGACAUGAUUAAUGAAAAUGAACUC